GAGGAUUAUGUUUUAUAGAGGCAUCAUUUACUUGCAGUAAAAUGCAAAGGUCUUAAGUGGAACAUGGGAGGAGUUUGGACACCUGUGUAUAAUCACCACCCAGAUCAAGGUCUAGAACGCCCCAUCAUCACCCCAGAAAGUUCCCUUGUACUCUUCCCUGCUCACCCCCCAUCCCGAGCCCUAUGCAGCCAUUGCUCUUCUUCCUCUCACUGGAGCAUGUGGACUUCUGUGGAGGGCGUGGACUUGUCUGCCUGUUUUGCUCAGCUUUCUCUGCGUGGCUGAGCUGGGAGCAGCUCCCCGUCCUGCUCCGCUGCGCCGUCCCCCAUGGCAAGGGUCUGCCGCCAUGGUAUGGGCCAUUCCACCCUUCAUGGCCACCUGGGCUAUUUCCACUUUUGCCUAUUCUGAGAGGCUGCUGUGAAUUCCUGCAAGGGUUUUUCUGGGUGCUUUUGUUUCGGGUAAACACCUGUGAGUGCAAGGGCUAGGUCCCAAGGCAGACAUAGGUUUUACCGUUUUAAGGAACUGCCAGACAGAUUUCCAAGUGACUGUGCCUCUGCAUUCCUGCCAGCAGCGGACGAGAGUUCUGGCGCUCUGUCCUCAUCCUUGCCAGCGGUGUUUAUGACACCUGUUCAGACUUCUAAAGUCCAAGACGGAACCUCAGCAACGCAGGCACGUCUCCUGGGCAGAGGCGUGCGUCAUGGAAAACUUGGAGGCUGGUGAUUGGGCCGUCUCUGCUGCAGAGUCAAGUCCCUGAACGCUUGAAAAACAACAUAAUGUAUUCCUGUCUGCAGCUCUGAGCAAAAGCUCAUUUUGUGUCCUGUGUUUCCAUUUCCUGAGGAUUAAUAAGUGCGGAGGGGAACUCGGGCUUCGUGCCGAAUAUUUAUUUAGUCAAUAUACACAUCAAUUUAGCAAAUUAGAGAUCGCAAGCCAUUUCUAAGGAAUGCUGUAAAAAUAAUAGCUGUACUUUAAACUUGUAAUGGAUUUUGGUUUGGUGGGAGGUGGUGGCUACUACGUGCCUCGCACUUGAUAAACAAAGAAGUUUAGUUCUCCU
This 1048-nucleotide long non-coding RNA is filed under the name Pan troglodytes (chimpanzee). Its description in RNAcentral is "long non-coding RNA NONPTRT009007". The record is from RNAcentral. Lineage: Eukaryota; Metazoa; Chordata; Mammalia; Primates; Hominidae.